Molecule: long non-coding RNA, 901 nt
Organism: Perca flavescens (yellow perch)
Lineage: Eukaryota; Metazoa; Chordata; Actinopteri; Perciformes; Percidae
Exons: 5
Source: RefSeq, a predicted model, not a curated record
GUUCAGCCUAAACCAAGCAGCUCUGCUCUCCAUUCAAGUAUUAAUUAUGUGCCAAGUCUUUGCAGUUGAGUACAGGAAUAUGCUGGUGUCCAGGGGAGACCCCGUCAUCCUCACUUGCAACAUAACAAAGACAAAUACAGCGCAAAUCACCUGGACCAAAGGCAGAUCUGUUUUUUCUCAUCUAGUCUUACACAAUAAGACUGUUUCAAAUUUCACCUCUCACAAAAUAGACGUAAACUUACCUUCAAAGCUGAAUAUUUCUAAUGUUCAGCAUGACGAUGCAGGACUAUAUAGGUGUGAUAUAACUGACAAAAAAGGUACAUGGACUAUCAAGUGGAAUUUAACAGUGUCUGGGGAACCUGAAGAUACAAGCAAAGAAAUCAGUCCAUCGUGGUCUUUUCUAUACAGACUCACCGCUGUAACUGGAUUUGUUCUAUGUGUCUUCAUUCUAGCUAUCUGCCUCUACAGAAAAACCGGACCCAGACACCAAACCAGGACUAAGAAAGCAGGGCCCUGAGCUAUGCCCAAUUUUCUGUUCAAUUUGGAAGACAGGUGGCUCCUCCUGAUCCAUCCUAAAGUUGUGCAAAAUACGCAACACAGCCCAGACAGAGGGAGUCGGUUCAUCUAGAGGCUCAAUCCAAUCCUGACAAGCAUGAAGUUCAGUAAAAAGCUGAAUAGGAAACAAGAGAUGUGUUGAACAGAAGAGAGACGACACAUUUGAAGAUGGCGACUGCUCCCCUUGGUGACCCAUGUUAAAAAAAAAUAAAAAAUACACCCCCAAAGGUGCCUUCUUGGAAGCCCCUAUGGCAGAAAAGACAUGAUAAAGUGACCUCUAUGGUGACCUUAAAAUUGAGAUAACAAUGUGCAGCCGCCGUAUGCUGGUGAACAUUAUAUUUUUUCA